AGAUAUUUGUCUGCUCUUCUUCGUCGUAGGUUUUGUUUAGGUUCUAGGGUUAGGUUUUCCCUAAAUUAGAUUCGUUUGCUGUGGAUUUUUGCCUCAGUUGAAGGUUAGGAGCUUCAAUUGAUGAUCAUCGCUGGCUCGAUCGUUGCUUCUAUGGUUUGAUGAUUUGGUUAAUUUGAAGCUUAUUAUCGCUAAUUUUUUUAUGGUGAUUUUCGAGAUUUAAUCAUGAUUGUGUUUUUGGCGGUGGAUCUGGUGUUUUGAAGGAUCGAACGGGAUGGGUACCAGUUUUUGCACUAGUUUCGGUUUGUUUAUGUGGUAAUUUCUGGUGGUAAUUUCUGGAUCAUUCCAAUUAUCGGACAAAUUUGACAUCAAAUUUCCUUCAAAGUUAGCCCUUUUUGGUUCUUCUUUUUGGUUUUCUUGCUGUGCUUCUUGUAGAAUGAUGGAUUUCGGGCCAUGUGGAGUGGGAAGGAACUAUCUCUUGGAUGGAUGUGAGGGUAAUCUGAAUCUGGAGUUUUUAUUUCAUUCAUAUUUGUGGUUGUUAUUGUUGUAGGCGGUGCUCUUGACUUUCAGUAGUUUUGGUGUGGUGACGAUCGAGGAUUGAUGAGGAAGAUUCAACUUUUACUAUUGUUGGGUUUGUUGAUUUGUAAUUUCUGGAUCGUUCUUUGUUAUCAAGAUUUUCGUGUUUUCUUUUUCUGGUUCUUUUGAUGUUCUCGUUGUGGCGUGGCAGAAUCCUAGUCUUCGGUGGGGCUAAAAAAGACUUUCUGGACGCGAAUAUUAUACGGCAUCGGGAGUGUUUUCCCUCGUCCCUUUUUUGGUUUCCCUUUUUAUUUCCUGAAAAAAUUAGUCGGGGAGUCUAUCAGUAACUGGCCUUAUGUGUUGUAUUGAUUUAGGGGAGCUUGGAUGCAAGAGGGUUUACCCUGCUAUACUGGUUUACCAAAUUCGAGAGAAGUUUUCUCUGUCCUCCUUUUCUGCUGUUUGACGGAGUUUUCUGGCUAUAGAUGCUGAGUUGCUCAGCGAGGUGUUCGUUUUCUGAUUUGCUUCAUUACUUGUGUUGUGCAAUAUAGGAUUUCUGUGAUUCGGAGUUGCGGUGAUAACUGAGCCUUCCUUCCUCAGAUGGGUUUCAGUGAUUCGGAGUUGUGGUGAUAACUGAGCCUUCCUUCCUCUGGGUCUUCUCGGAGUUGCGGUGAUAACUGAGCCUUCCUUCCUCAGAUGGUAAACUGAUUUGGAGGGAGUUAUCUUCUCACCCAUAAUCUUGUGCUUCAGGAAUUUAUGCUUUUGGCACCUUUUGAUAUUUGCACGCUGUUUUAUCGAUUUUUUUUUUCUUUUUUAGAACUUACAGGACACACUGUUGAAAUAGCUUUCAACCUCUCCAUUCAAUUUGCCUGCACCUAUUUCGCUGCUCUUUUCUUGAGUCUAGGAUUGUGUUGUGCAAUAUAGGGUUUCAGUGAUUCGGAGUUGUGGUGAUAACCGAGCCUGCCUUCCUCGGAUGGUAAACUGAUUUUGAGGGAGUUUUCUCACCCAUAAUCUUGUGCUUGAGGAAUUUAUGCUUUUGGCACCUUUUGAUAUCUGCACGCUGUUUUCUCGAGUUUUUUUUUUCUUUUUUAGAACUUCAGGACACACACUGCUGAAAUAGCUUUCAACCUCUCCAUUCAAUUUGCCUGCACCUACUUUGCUGCUCUUUCUCUUGAGUCUAGGAUUAGGUUUUCCUAAGUGAGAUUCAAUUGUUGUGGUUUUUUGUUUCAGCAGAAGGUUAGGAUCUUCAAUUGAUGAUCUUCACUGGGUUCGACCGUUGCUUCUAUGGUUUGAUGAUUUGAUUAAUUUGAAGCUUAUUAUCGCUAAUUUUGUUAUGGCAAUUUUUGAGAUUUAAUCAUGGUUGUUUCCGGGCAGUGGCUCUGGUAUUUCGAAGGAUUGAACGGGAAGGAUACCAUUUUUUGCAGUAGUUUUGGUUUGUUUUUGUGGUAAUUUCUGGAUAAUUCCAAUUAUCAGACAAAUUUGACAUCAAGUCUCCUCCAAAAUUAGUGCUUUUCUGGUUUUUUUUGAUGUGCUUACUGUAGAAUGAUGGAUUUCGGGCAUGUACAGUGGGAAGGAACUCUCUCUUGGAUGGAUGUAAGCGUAAUCUGAAUCCUGGAGUUUUUUUUUCAUAUCUGUGGUAUGGUUAUUGUUGUUCUUAUUGCUGUAGGCGGUGCUCUGGACUUUGAAUAGUUUUGGUGUGGUGUCGUUCGAAGAUUGAUGAAGAUUUGUGUUUUUACAAUUGUCGGGUUUGUUGAUUAGUAAUUUCCCGAUUGUUCUUUGUUAUCAAGAUCGUCGUCUUUUCUUUUUCUUGUUCUUUUGAUGUCCUCCUCGUGGCUUGGCAGAAUCCUAGUCUUAGGUGGAGCUGGCAGAAUCCUAGUCUUAGGUGGAGCUAAAAAAGAUAUUGCAUCCGAAUAUUAUACGAUAUUGGGAGUUUUUCCCCCCUCCCUUUUUGGUUUCCUUUUUUAUUUCUUGAAAAAAUUAGGCGGGGAGUCAAUUAGUAACUGGCCCUCUCUGUUGUAUUGAUUUAGGGGAGCUUGAAUGCAAGAGGGUCUGGUUGCAUUUUUUAUCCUGCUAUACUGGUUUACAAGAUUCCAGAAGUUCUCUGUCCUUGUUUUCUGCUGUUUGACUAGGGAGUUCUCUGGCUAAAGGUGCUGGUUUGCUCUGUGAGACAGCUGUGUUCGUUUUCUGAUUUCCUGCAUCAAUCUGUGUUGUGCAAUACCGGGUUUCAGUGAUUUGGAGUUGUGAUAACUGAGCCUUCCUUCCUCAGAUGGUAAACUGUUUUGGAGGGAGUUAUCUUCUUACAAUCUUGUACUUAGGAAUUUAUGCUUUUGAUACCUGUACACAGUUUUGUCGAGUAUUUUUCUUUUCAGAACUCCGGGAGAAACACCAUUGAAAUAGCUUUCAACCUCUCCAUCCAAUUUGCCUGCACAUACUUUGCUGCUUCUCCAUCAGAGUUAUCUUUGCCCAUUUGUUGUCUUCAGGGUUUUGAAUUUAUUUUGGUUCCAUAUGGUCCUCAGAUGCUUAGGAUUGUGUCAAUAUGGCAAUAUUGCUGCUGUCAGGUAUUUCUUAGCUUUUAAAUUCUGCCAUCAAAGAUGUUUUUCUAGGUAGUUCCCAUAGAAUUUUCUUCUUGAUCCGAACAAGAAUCAAGUUUAUGCUUGUUACAUGAAUAGGUUUAGUGUUAUGGUAGAUUAUCUGAAUUUGUCAAUUCAUUUGUCAGUUCUCAUCUUUGCAUCCAAUUUCAUUUUUGUUGGCUUUUUGUGUCACUGGCAACUUUAAUGAGAGGAAGGUCUCUUGUAUGUUAUUCUGUGAAUUAAUUGGACGUAUUUGAACAUAAUCUCUUAUUUGGGGCUCAACAUUGGUGUUUCAGUCGUUGCUUUAGGUUGUGUUGCUGCUAUAUGUCGUGGCUCUGGGUUUCAGCAAUUUCUCUGUGGUGUUGAUUGAGGAUUGAUCUUGAGGUUUUGCGGUUUGUUGAUGUAGUUAUUCUUGAAUGGUUCUGGUUGAUGUUUAAAGGUUGUCUUCUUUUCUGGUUCUUUGAUGUGGUCUGAGAAUGAUGGAGUUCUGCGUAUGGAAGUAAUUCUUGGAUGGAGGGAAGCAAAAAAGAGCUUCUUGGAUGGAUGAAUGUGAUAAAUCGGGAAUUUUUUUCUCUGCCAACCAAUUCUUUCUUUUGCCUACAAAUAGCUGGUAUUCGUUGGUAAUAGCUUAUCUGUUGUCUUCAUUUUAGGGAAGUUUGGAUUGGAGCAUUCGCGUCAUUUGUUUGACCUGCUAUUACAGCUUACAAGAUUUUGGAGGAGCUCUCUUUCCCUACUUGUUUUUCUGUUGUUUCCUUGAAAUUGAUUAGGAAAUUUGUGGAUUUGCUCCUUGUUCUCUAAUUUCCCAUAUUACUAUGGUGCUGCAACUUAGGGUUUCAGUGAAGUGAUUUGUGAUUCUUGGAUGGAUGGAAGCAAAAAAGAGCUUUUCUUCGAUGGAUGAAUGUGAUAAAUCGGGAGUUUUUUUUUCUGCCAACCAAUUUUUUCUGUUGGAUAAAAAUAGUUGGUAUUCGUUGGUAAUAGCUUAUCUAUUGUCUUCAUUUUAGGGAAGUUUGGAUUGGAGCGUUCUCGUCAUUUGUGACCUGCUAUUCCAGUUUACAAGAUUUUGGAGGAGCUUUCUCUUUCCCUACUUGUUUUUCUGCUGUUUCCUUGAAAUUGAUUAGGAUAUCUGUGGAUUUGCUCCUCUCCUCUAAUUUCCCAUAUUACUAGGGUGCAGCUUGGGGUUUCAGUGAAGUGAUUCGUGCUUCAAACUUGCCUUCCCAAUCUCAGAUCAAGGGCUAGUUAAAUUUUUUGGAGGGAGUUAUUUUCUCACCUACACAAAUUGUUCUUUUGUGCUAGAGGAAUUUAGGGGUUUCAAUGCCUUAAUUAUAAUUUCUCUGUGAAUCUUUUUGGCCUGGCGGCAUGUCUUGCAGAGUCAACUUUCCUGAUCCACGAUGAAUAGAAUGGGUCAUAACCAAGUGCAUCUCUGUGCUUAUUCAAGUUUAUUUGUAUGGGUGGGGUUCCUGGUAUUUUGCUCAUUCAGCUUGAUCUGAAGAAGUGUUAAGGCUAUGCAUAUUGGUCUGAUUGCAUGAACUCUCUACUUGAGAUGGAACAUGGGCUUUUUGGAUGCGAUGUUUCUUAGAAUUAUGGGAUGCGGUUCUUCUUGGAAUUAUGGAAUUGAUGUGAUGGUGAUCCUUAAUUUUGAGUUUUGCUUUCUGCUUUAUUUUUGUAUUGCUGUACUCAGUUGCUCUGGUUUUGAGCAGUUCCCCUAUAGAGUUGAUUGGUAAAAAGACGGUAAAAAGAUUUUGAGGUUAAUGACGGUUUGUUUUGUUCUUGGUGAUUUUUCAAGAUUUGUCCUCUUCUUUGGCUCUUUCGAUGUCAUUUUCUCAAGAUGUCAUUUUUCAAGAAUAGUGGAUUUCUGGUAUGAGGAGGCUAGAAGAGCUCUCUCUUGGAUGGAUGUGAAUAAAAUCGGGAGAUUUUCUUUUCAAUCUGGUCUUUCUUUGUUCUCUCUUGCCUGAAAAAAUCAGGGUGGUGAUGGCUUCUUUCUGUUUUGAUUUUAGGGAAGCUUGUUCCAGGAGUGUCGUUGUGUUUGGUACCCUGCUAACUGGUUUUGUAACAAGAUAUUGGAUAAGCGCUCUCUUUCCCUACUCUCUUUUUUUGACUGUUUUGUUUAAAAAAUGAUUUUCUCUGCUUGUUCUUUAAUUUACUAUGUCUGUGUCGAAUCAGAGGGGUGGCCAAAACAUAGGUCUCUGUCCUCAGGUCGAAGGCUAGUACAUUAUUAUAGAGGGGUUUAUCUUCAUACCUAUGCUCUUAUUAUUCUUUUUUGGCUUGAGCAUUUCAAGAGUUUUGGUACUUUUUGAUGUCUGUAGACUAUUAUAAGUAUAAUCUAAAUUCUUUGUAAAUCUCUUCCUCCAUAGUCCACCAUGCUUGUAGAAAUGCCUUAUGCAUUAUUUGUUGUCAGUAAUUUCUUGAAAGUCUCUGUUCCUGAUCCUCAAGGAAAAGUUAUCACUGUGUGUUUUGUUCUUGUUGAUUUUUCAAGAUUUGUCCUUUCUUCUCUGCUUCUUUUGAUAUCUUUCAAGAAAAGUGGAUUUGUGGUGUGUGUAGGCGAGGAGCUCUCUCUUGGAUGGCUGGGAAUAAAUCGGGGGAUUUUCUUUUCAACCUGCUAUUUCUAUGUUCUCUUUCCCUGAAAAAAUCACUGGGGGUGGUGGGUGAUGGCUUUUGUCUUUUUUGAUUUUUAGGAGCUUGUUCCCGGAGUGUUGGUGCAUUUGGGGCCCUGCUAACCAGUUUUGUAACAAGAUUUUGGAUGAGCUCUCUUUCGUUGCCCUUUUUUUUUGCUGUUUUGUUUAAAAUGGAUUUUCUUUACUCGUUCUCUAAUUUGCUAUAUUAUUUUGUGUUGAAUCCUGGAUUUCAGUGAUUCGGAGGUGUGGUUAAAACAUAGGGGUCUGUUCUGUCGUCGGUAGUUUAUCUUUUGUGCAUGAGGAAUUUAGGGGUUUUGAUACCUUAUUUGUAAUUUUUCUGUUAACCUUUUCUUAUUGUUUGUUACCUGGUCUGGCAGUAAUUCCUGCAGAGUCAACUCUCCUGAUCCAUGAGAAAUGGAUUGGCGUAUAACCAAGUGUUAAAUUCUGUCAUCUUAACAUGUUUGUAUAGGUAGGGUUUUUGGUGUUGCCGAUUCAUCAUGGUCUGAAGAAGAAUGAAUGCUACAUUUAUCAGUUUUGAUAAAUAUGGCAGAUCUACAAUUUUUAUUUCAUCUUUGUGCCAAGUUGAAGUCUGUGUUGGCUAUUCAUGUAAUCACACACUUACAGAAUUCCAGUGAGGGUGGUGACAGAGUAUGUAAUCACUUGGGAAGUCCAUGUUCCUGAUCCUCAUUUAAGAGUACAGAUUUGUGUAUCACUGCUUAAUCCCAAACUUGGGAAGUCCAUGUUCCUGAUCCUCAUUUAAGAGUACAGAUUUGUGUAUCACUGCUUAAUCCCAACUGUUAGUUCCUGGACUCCUGCAACCAGCCCAUUUAAUUCACCUCCACUGAUUUUGCGGCUGCUCCAUUAAUUUCCGAUUAGCUUAAUCCCAGGCCCUUCCUUUCUUUGGGGACUGUUUUCUUGUUAACUCAUAUAAUUCUGAAAAGAAUUAACGUUAUGCUUGGUAUGCUAAUUUGUUUUGAUGGUAUGUAUAUAAUCUAAAUUUCUGGAUGGUGGCAACUAAUGGAUGGCUCUGAUAUUGGUUUUCAUCUUGGUGUCAGAGUUUAAGUUGGGUUCUGAUGUCCUGGUAUCCCUUGCAGAACUCUAAUCUUAGCGAGAGGAUUGUGAAGAAAUAGAGGUCUCUUGGAUGUUCUGAUGUCCUGGUACUGUGGUUAGAGGUCUCUUGGACGUUAUUCUUUUUCAGAUGUUCUGAUGUCCUGGUACUGUGGUUUGAAUCAUGGAAUCUCUCUUCAUGCUGUCCUGUUGUGUUUGUUGAAAACAUUACUGAUGCAUUCGUCAGGCUUUAUAAUUUGUUUAAUUCUGCAGAUUGGAUAUAGGAGCUUUGAUCAUGGUUAGGUGCUCGAGUAACAGGUUCAAGAAAAAUGUUUUAUUCGUUAUGAGUAUUCAUGAGCUUUUGAUGGAUGAAUUCUGAAUUAGUCAUGGUAGUUACCCUGUUAUGCUGUGUUUUCAGCGUUUUACUAUUGAAGUUCAUUAGGAAGUAUUUGAAAGAAUAAAGGGUGCAUAGAAAUAUUUGGUUUGUCGUGUUCGUCAGGGUCCGGUAUAAGUUCUUGGAAAAUUUUGACAUCAAUUAGCUUCUUGAUCUGUUAAAACUCUGUCACUAUUCGAUGUUCUUGCACAGAAUGACAGAUGGGGGGUGAAUUAUCAGAAUUAGGGGAUGCAAAGAAGAACUUCAGAGGAAUGGGAAAAAUUAUGGUUUACCCUGAUCCUGAUUGAUUUUGCAUAUGCUGUGUGUGAUUAUUGCUGGGCUUAUUAUUAGUCUUAUCUGGUUUCCAUUUAGGGAGCUUAUUUGCAAGAAUCUCUGGUUAUAUUGUUACCUGGUAUUGUGAUCUACAUGAUUUCGAAGGAGCUCUCCUCUCGUGGUUGUGCCUGGUUUUCUUUGUGGUUUAAUUUCAGGAAGAGCUGGGAGUUGAACUCAGAUGUAUGUUUUCAAGCCUGAAUUUCUGCAUUACUAACCCAUCCUAGUUGCAUGCUACUGAUCACCAUGAAAUCGAAGCAGAUGUAGAGGUUUUUUUUAUCCCUGAUCAUUUGUAAUGGAUGUCUUGAGCGCAACUGCAGUGUCAUUUUGUUUGUCCUGGUUUAUUCACGACGGUGUUUUUAAUAUUCAAUGAAGUUUGCAGAUUCUGCUUUGAUAGCAUGAAAGGAGUUUUGGUGGGUCUUUAGCAAAGUUUUGUAUAUUCUUGUAGCAAACAUGCUUAUUCCAGUGAAUUUAAGAUAUCCAGAAAUUGGGAUUUUCUAUUUUUGUCUCCUUUCAAGUCAUAUAGAUGGUAAAGAUGUGGCUCUUCCUAGUCUACAUGGAAUUUGAUUGACGAUUUUGAUGUUUGAAUGUGGAAAGAAACUUCUGAUAUGCCAUGGGGUGCGGCCUAAGAUGCAACUCAGUAUGGGUUCAUGGUCAUGGCGAAGUAGGUAUAUUUCUUGCCUCCUAUCGUUCUUGGGCUUUUGGUGUGUGGUAUUUGGUAUGUCCAUUAUUGUUGAAGAGGGUCUAACGGGAGUCGUCCUCUAUCACCAUUGAAUACUCAGCUGCUAGCGUUCAUCAUCUACAGUUGAAUGGAAGAGAAAUUCGGUUAUUCUCAGUUAGUUAGCAGAUGCUUGUUCAGUCAUGUUAGAACAGAUGCAUGCAAUAUCUGCUUUCGUAGUCAUGUAAGAACAGGUACUGGUAUUGUUCAGUCAUGUAAUAACAGAUGUCAUGUAAGAACAGGUACUGUUAUUGUAGUCAGUCAUGUAAAAACAGAUGCAUGCAAUCUGUUUUUGUAGUCAUCAACUUACAUACCACUGGUACUGGUAUUUUGUGUGAAUUUCAUUUCAUACUUGAAUUUUGUGAUCCUCUGGUACGUAGGUUUAGUAUGCAACUUUAAAGUGCAUGUAACUGAAUUCUGUCGUCCUUGGGAAGAAGCUGUUGGACAAUCUUUGCUUAUGGUCCUAACAGAUAUGGUGUGGCAUCAAGAGGUCCAAUCUAAGAUUGGCAAUAGUAUGCGUUGCUGUUUUGGGAGAUGGUUCCAUUUUGGCAGGCUCUGGCACAGGUUUUUAUGUUCAUGUAACCAUUUGUCAAUGAUUGACAAAUUGAGAGGAAUCCAAAUGCCUUGUUUACGAGUAUUGAAAAUCAUUAAUUUGGUUGAAGUGCGUACACAACUUUGAGGUUGAUUUCGUUGGA
Coffea eugenioides is the source of this 8855-nucleotide long non-coding RNA. RefSeq lists it as uncharacterized. The record is from RefSeq and is a predicted model, not a curated record. NCBI's taxonomy places the organism in Eukaryota, Viridiplantae, Streptophyta, Magnoliopsida, Gentianales, Rubiaceae. The transcript has 4 exons.